AUGAGGUUAAUCUACCAUUUUGGCAACCUAUGCAUUGACAACCUCCAAUGGCUCAAUUCUGCGAAUGUGGUGCUCUUUCCUAAAAAGGAUGGGGCCGAGGGUAUUAGUGACUAUAGGUCGAUUAGCCUUAUCCAUGUGAUCGCUAAGAUCAUGGCCAAGAUGCUAGCGGCCUGACGUGGGACGCACAUGAAUAACCUCAUUUCCAACGCCCAAAGCGCUUUCAUCAAGAAAAGAAGCAUCCACAAAAACUUCAUGUAUGUGCGCAACCUUGCUAGAUGCCUCCACAAGAACAAAACUCCAUCUCUACUCUCAAGCUUAACAUCCAUAAAGCGUUUUAUUUGGUACGUUGGGACUAUAUUCUUGACCUCCUGCAAUAGAGAGGCCUACCAAGCAAAUUUCGAGAUUGGAUCGUUGUCUUGCUAUGCACCUCCACCUCCUGGAUUCUACUUAAUGGUGUGGCUGGUCAUCCCAUCAAGCACAGUCGUGGGCUUCAUCAAGGGGACCCCCUAUCGCCUCUCCUAUUCAUCCUCGCCAUUGACUUGCUCCAACAACUUCUUGACUCGGCCACUCGACAUGGCCGCCUUCACAAGAUAA
RNAcentral lists this ribosomal RNA (594 nucleotides) under Triticum aestivum (bread wheat). RNAcentral's name for it is "partial small subunit ribosomal RNA". Lineage: Eukaryota; Viridiplantae; Streptophyta; Magnoliopsida; Poales; Poaceae. The record is from RNAcentral.